This 490-nucleotide ribosomal RNA is filed under the name uncultured bacterium. RNAcentral's name for it is "bacterial SSU rRNA". It matches the Rfam family "Bacterial small subunit ribosomal RNA", at positions 903 to 1397 of the family's 1533-position model. The record is from RNAcentral.
AAAUGAAUUGACGGGACCCCGCACAAGCGGUGGAUCAUGUUGUUUAAUUCGACGAUACGCGAAGAACCUUACCAGGUCUUGACAUGCUCUGCAAAGGCUUAGAAAUAAGUACGGAGGUUAACAGAUGCACAGGUGGUGCACGGUUGUCGUCAGCUCGUGUCGUGAGAUGUUGGGUUAAGUCCCGCAACGAGCGCAACCCUUAUCGUUAGUUACCAUCAUUAAGUUGGGGACUCUAGCGAGACUGCCAGUGACAAACUGGAGGAAGGUGGGGAUGACGUCAAAUCAUCAUGCCCCUUAUGACCUGGGCUACAAACGUGAUACAAUGGCUGCUACAAAGAGAAGCGAAGGGGUGACCUCAAGCAAAUCUCAAAAAAGCAGUCUCAGUUCGGAUUGAAGUCUGCAACUCGACUUCAUGAAGUCGGAAUCGCUAGUAAUCGCGAGUCAGCAUAUCGCGGUGAAUACGUUCUCGGGGUUUGUACACACCGCCCGU